RNAcentral lists this transfer RNA (72 nucleotides) under Caldilineaceae bacterium. RNAcentral describes it as "tRNA-Met". It matches the Rfam family "tRNA". Rfam says of the family: Transfer RNA (tRNA) molecules are approximately 80 nucleotides in length. Their secondary structure includes four short double-helical elements and three loops (D, anti-codon, and T loops). Lineage: Bacteria; Bacillati; Chloroflexota; Caldilineae; Caldilineales; Caldilineaceae. The record is from RNAcentral.
AGCGGGUUGGCGCAGCGGCAGCGCGGUGGGCUCAUAAUCCACAGGUCGUCGGUUCAAAUCCGACACCCGCAA